CAGGAAAUAGUUUAUUUAAAAUUUUAAUUUUGGAGAUUAGAGAAAAGGGCUUCCUUUUUCCUGA
This 64-nucleotide transfer RNA is filed under the name Cleroidea sp. 3 KM-2017. Its description in RNAcentral is "tRNA-Pro". The record is from RNAcentral. Lineage: Eukaryota; Metazoa; Arthropoda; Insecta; Coleoptera.